Molecule: ribosomal RNA, 253 nt
Filed under: uncultured bacterium
Lineage: Bacteria
Description: partial 16S ribosomal RNA
Rfam family: Bacterial small subunit ribosomal RNA
Source: RNAcentral
UACGGAGGGUGCAAGCGUUAUCCGGAUUCACUGGGUUUAAAGGGUGCGUAGGAGGGCAGGUAAGUCAGUGGUGAAAUCUCCAAGCUUAACUUGGAAACUGCCGUUGAUACUGAGGAGCUCGAGUCCGGGAGAGGUGAGUGGAACUGCGAGUGUAGAGGUGAAAUUCGUAGAUAUUCGGAAGAACACCAGUGGCGAAGGCGACUUACUGGACACAUAUUGACGCUGAGGUGCGAAAGCGUGGGGAGCAAACAGG